Molecule: non-coding RNA, 231 nt
Organism: Vicia faba (fava bean)
Lineage: Eukaryota; Viridiplantae; Streptophyta; Magnoliopsida; Fabales; Fabaceae
Source: the annotation of a GenBank genome assembly
AUGUCUGAAUGGCUUAUUUCUUGUUUUUAUAGGUGUAUGUUGUAUGUAACACAUUCUGGGGCACAUAAAAUACUGUUUCUCCAAGUAGCAAGGAAAUCAUUGUUCACUAUGCAUCUAAUUCCAUCCAAGGCACAUACAUCCAUAUUGUAUUUAUGUCUUCAUUAUAUAGACAUCAGUAAGUGGGGUGGAUCAGUGAGGAAGGAGUUGGUCUUGAUUGGUAAGAUGAUGUAA